Molecule: transfer RNA, 69 nt
Filed under: Marmota monax (woodchuck)
Lineage: Eukaryota; Metazoa; Chordata; Mammalia; Rodentia; Sciuridae
Description: tRNA.Ala
Source: RNAcentral
GGGCUGGGGCUCAGUGGUAGAGCACUGCCUAGCACGUUCGAGGCCCUGGGUUUGAUCCUCAGCACCACA